AGUACUAGAAUUUCAAAUGCUAAUUUUCUCGAGAAAAUUCAAAAGAAAAUACGGAUAAGAAAAUUGAAUUGGCGAGAAAAUACCAAGCAUGUCAUUCACAAUAAAAAUUGAAAGAGCAGAGAAAAUAUAGGGCAAAGGGAGAAAGAGGUAAUUAAUGCAAAAAGCAGAACUAUGGCUAUGACGCUUUUGGUUUUAUUACUGAAAGAGGAGGAAAAGGACUGAGGGUUUUGGAUUAUGGAAGUAAUGGAAGCGUUUCGAAAGAAUAGGUUUUGGCGUUUUCUAUAGAGUACCAGUCAAAUCAUGAAUAAACAAUAGAAUUUUG
RNAcentral lists this long non-coding RNA (322 nucleotides) under Nicotiana benthamiana. RNAcentral describes it as "long non-coding RNA (NBEN_LNC024466)". The record is from RNAcentral. Lineage: Eukaryota; Viridiplantae; Streptophyta; Magnoliopsida; Solanales; Solanaceae.